This 429-nucleotide ribosomal RNA is filed under the name Pseudomonadota bacterium. RNAcentral describes it as "Proteobacteria bacterium partial 16S ribosomal RNA". It matches the Rfam family "Bacterial small subunit ribosomal RNA", at positions 355 to 776 of the family's 1533-position model. Lineage: Bacteria; Pseudomonadati; Pseudomonadota. The record is from RNAcentral.
UGGGGAAUAUUGGACAAUGGGCGAAAGCCUGAUCCAGCCAUGCCGCGUGUGUGAAGAAGGUCUUCGGAUUGUAAAGCACUUUAAGUUGGGAGGAAGGGCAGUAAGCGAAUACCUUGCUGUUUUGACGUUACCGACAGAAUAAGCACCGGCUAACUCUGUGCCAGCAGCCGCGGUAAUACAGAGGGUGCAAGCGUUAAUCGGAAUUACUGGGCGUAAAGCGCGCGUAGGUGGUUCGUUAAGUUGAAUGUGAAAGCCCCGGGCUCAACCUGGGAACUGCAGCCAAAACUGGCGAGCUAGAGUAGGGCAGAGGGUGGUGGAAUUUCCUGUGUAGCGGUGAAAUGCGUAGAUAUAGGAAGGAACACCAGUGGCGAAGGCGACAACCUGGGCUCAUACUGACACUGAGGUGCGAAAGCGUGGGGAGCAAACAGG